This 224-nucleotide ribosomal RNA is filed under the name uncultured bacterium. RNAcentral describes it as "partial 16S ribosomal RNA". It matches the Rfam family "Bacterial small subunit ribosomal RNA", at positions 524 to 743 of the family's 1533-position model. The record is from RNAcentral.
GACAGAGGGUGCAAACGUUGUUCGGAAUUACUGGGCGUAAAGCGCGUGUAGGCUGCCUCGCAAGUCGGAUGUGAAAGCCCUGGGCUCAACCUAGGAAGUGCAUUCGAAACUGCGAGGCUGGAGUCCUGGAGAGGAAAGCGGAAUUCUCGGUGUAGAGGUGAAAUUCGAUAGAUAUCGAGAGGAACGAACCGGUGGCCGGAAGGCGGCUUAGCCUCGGGUCCAGC